This 531-nucleotide ribosomal RNA is filed under the name Triticum aestivum (bread wheat). Its description in RNAcentral is "partial small subunit ribosomal RNA". The record is from RNAcentral. Lineage: Eukaryota; Viridiplantae; Streptophyta; Magnoliopsida; Poales; Poaceae.
AUGAAAAAAGAGCAUGGUGGACUUGGGGUCCCCAAUAUUAAGGACCUCAAUCUAUGUCUAUUAGGUAGCUGGGUCAAAAGGUAUGCCCAAGUUUGCCAGGGGGUUAUGUGGGCUGCUAAGGCUCUCAAAUUUGGCUAUAGAUGGGUGGUGGGAAAUGGGAGGAAAACCAGAUUCUAGGAGGAUAUCUGGUUUGGCACCUCCCCCCUCUCUGUCCAGUUCUGGCCACUCUAUGCUAUCUGUCAUCAACAAUGUGUGACAGUUUCAGAAGUUUGGGAUGGGGAGAUGAUCAAACUUACAUUUAGGAGGGUUUUUACCUCUUCUAUGAUGGAAGAGUGGUACCAUCUUGAGCAAAUUAUUAAAGAAACUACCCUCACUGGGGAGGAUGAUGCUAUGAUCUGGCAGUAUUAAUCCAAAGGGGUUUACUCUUCCAGAUCACUUUAUGCCAUCAUUAACUUCAGAGGGGUGAAACUUGUCUUCAUUCCUUCAGUUUGGUCUAUUGUAGUGCCACCCAGAGUUCAGGUCUUUCUCUAG